RNAcentral lists this ribosomal RNA (503 nucleotides) under uncultured bacterium. RNAcentral's name for it is "partial 16S ribosomal RNA". It matches the Rfam family "Bacterial small subunit ribosomal RNA", at positions 30 to 523 of the family's 1533-position model. The record is from RNAcentral.
AUUGAACGCUGGCGGCAGGCUUAACACAUGCAAGUCGAGCGGGGUGAUGGUGCUUGCACUAUCACUUAGCGGCGGACGGGUGAGUAAUGCUUAGGAAUCUGCCUAUUAGUGGGGGACAACAUCUCGAAAGGGAUGCUAAUACCGCAUACGUCCUACGGGAGAAAGCAGGGGAUCACUUGUGACCUUGCGCUAAUAGAUGAGCCUAAGUCGGAUUAGCUAGUUGGUGGGGCAAAGGCCUACCAAGGCGACGAUCUGUAGCGGGUCUGAGAGGAGGAGCCGCCACACUGGGACUGGGACACGGCCCAGACUCCUACGGGAGGCAGCAGUGGGGAAUAUUGGACAAGGGGGGGAACCCUGAUCCAGCCAUGCCGCGUGUGUGAAGAAGGCCUUAUGGUUGUAAAGCACUUUAAGCGAGGAGGAGGCUCUUUUGGUUAAUACCCAAGAUGAGUGGACGUUACUCGCAGAAUAGGCACCGGCUAACUCUGUGCCAGCAGCCGCAGUAA